Molecule: transfer RNA, 70 nt
Filed under: Epinephelus corallicola (coral grouper)
Lineage: Eukaryota; Metazoa; Chordata; Actinopteri; Perciformes; Serranidae
Description: tRNA-Glu
Rfam family: tRNA
About the family: Transfer RNA (tRNA) molecules are approximately 80 nucleotides in length.
Source: RNAcentral
GUUUUUGUAGUUGAAAUAACAACGAUGGUUUUUCAAGCCAUUAGUCCUGGUUAGAGUCCUGGCAGAAAUU